Molecule: ribosomal RNA, 582 nt
Filed under: Pectobacterium polaris
Lineage: Bacteria; Pseudomonadati; Pseudomonadota; Gammaproteobacteria; Enterobacterales; Pectobacteriaceae
Description: bacterial SSU rRNA
Rfam family: Bacterial small subunit ribosomal RNA
Source: RNAcentral
AAUGGCGAAAGCAUCUUACUAAGUAAGGACUGACGGUAAGGUACGAAGGCUAGGGCAUGAAUAGGGAUUAGAUACCCCAGUACUCCUAGCUGUAAACGAUGCAGAUUAGAGAUUAGUUAUGUAGACCUAGUCUCGAUGUUAACGCGUUAAAUCUGCCACCUGUAUAGUAUAGUCGCAUGGCUGAAAUACAAAUAAUUAGACCGCCCGUAAGCAAACGGAGUGAAGCAUGUUAUUUAAUACGAUAACCCGCGUACAAUCUUACCACAUCUUGCAUACCUACAUUGUCUGGAAUAGACGUAGUGUACAGGUGCUGCAUGGCUGUCGCCAGUUAGUGCUCGUAAGGCCUAAGGUUAAUUCCGUUGAACUAACGCAAUCCUCGCUGUGAGUUUACACCUUGCAGUCUCAUCCUGAUAAAGGAUGAUUUUAGGAGGACUAUGACAAGCCCUCAUGGCCCUUAUGGUGUGGGCUAUAGACGUGCCACAAGAACGUAUACAAUAUGAAGCAAUCUCGAAAGAAGGAACUAACCACUAAAAUACGUUAAUGUACGGAUUGUAGGCUGCAACUCGCCUACAUGAAGCAGGA